CAGUCGCCGCGGUAAUACGGAGGGGGCUAGCGUUGUUCGGAAUUACUGGGCGUAAAGCGCACGUAGGCGGCUUGGUAAGUUAGGGGUGAAAGCCUGGAGCUCAACUCCAGAAUUGCCUUUAAGACUGCCGAGCUAGCAGGUGAGAGAGGUAAGUGGAAUUCCGAGUGUAGCAGUGAAAUGCGUAGAGAUGUGGAGGAACACCGAUGGCGAAGGCAGCCCCCUGGGCCAAUACUGACGCUCAUGCACGAAAGCGUGGGGAGCAAACAGGAUUAGAUACCCCCGUAGUCCCUGUCUCUUAUAC
Molecule: ribosomal RNA, 301 nt
Filed under: uncultured bacterium
Lineage: Bacteria
Description: partial 16S ribosomal RNA
Rfam family: Bacterial small subunit ribosomal RNA
Source: RNAcentral